RNAcentral lists this ribosomal RNA (300 nucleotides) under uncultured Saprospiraceae bacterium. Its description in RNAcentral is "bacterial SSU rRNA". It matches the Rfam family "Bacterial small subunit ribosomal RNA", at positions 114 to 411 of the family's 1533-position model. The record is from RNAcentral. Lineage: Bacteria; Pseudomonadati; Bacteroidota; Saprospiria; Saprospirales; Saprospiraceae.
CGCGUACACAACCUACCUACAAGAGAGGGAUAGCCCCGGGAACGUAGGAGUAAUACCUCAUAGUAUUAUUCUGGAGAUUUUGGUAAUAAUUAAAACUACAGGUGCUUGUAGAUGGGUGUGCGUCCGAUUAGCUAGAUGGUGAGGUAACGGCUCACCAUGGCGACGAUUGGUAGGGGGCGUGAGAGCGUGGUCCCCCACACGGGUACUGAGACACGGACCCGACUCCUACGGGAGGCAGCAGUAAGGAAUAUUGGACAAUGGGCGGCAAGCCUGAUCCAGCUAUCCCGCCGUGCAGGAUGA